This 495-nucleotide ribosomal RNA is filed under the name uncultured bacterium. RNAcentral describes it as "partial 16S ribosomal RNA". It matches the Rfam family "Bacterial small subunit ribosomal RNA", at positions 28 to 507 of the family's 1533-position model. The record is from RNAcentral.
GACGAACGCUGGCGGCGUGCCUAAUACAUGCAAGUAGAACGCUGAAGGAGGAGCUUGCUUCUCUGGAUGAGUUGCGAACGGGUGAGUAACGCGUAGGUAACCUGCCUGGUAGCGGGGGAUAACUAUUGGAAACGAUAGCUAAUACCGCAUAAUAGUAGAUGUUGCAUGACAUUUGCUUAAAAGGUGCAAUUGCAUCACUACCAGAUGGACCUGCGUUGUAUUAGCUAGGUGGUGAGGUAACGGCUCACCAAGGCAAAGAUACAUAGCCGACCUGAGAGGGUGAUCGGCCACCCUGGGACUGGGACCCGGCCCAGACUCCUACGGGAGGCAGCAGUAGGGAAUCUUCGGCAAUGGACGGAAGUCUGACCGAGCACCGCCGCGUGAGUGAAGAAGGUUUUCGGAUCGUAAAGCUCUGUUGUAAGAGAAGAACGAGUGUGAGAGUGGAAAGUUCACACUGUGACGGUAUCUUACCAGAAAGAGACGGCUAACUACGUG